GCUGGCGAACUGGGUGAGUAACACGUGAGCACCUGCCUCUGACUUUGGGAUAACAGUAGGAAACUGCUGCUAAUACCGGAUAUCACCUCCUUCUGCAUGGUGGGGGGUUGAAAGCUUUUGCGGUCAGGGAUGGGCUCGCGGCCUAUCAGCUUGUUGGUGAGGUAAUGGCUCACCAAGGCUUCGACGGGUAGCCGGCCUGAGAGGGCGACCGGCCACACUGGGACUGAGAUACGGCCCAGACUCCUACGGGAGGCAGCAGUGGGGAAUAUUGCACAAUGGGCGGAAGCCUGAUGCAGCAACGCCGCGUGCGGGAUGACGGCCUUCGGGUUGUAAACCGCUUUCACUCAUGACGAAGCGCAAGUGACGGUAGUGAGAGAAGAAGCACCGGCCAACUACGUGCCAGCAGCCGCGGUGAUACGUAGGGUGCGAGCGUUGUCCGGAAUUAUUGGGCGUAAAGAGCUCGUAGGCGGUCUGUCACGUCGGAAGUGAAAACUCAGGGCUCAACCCUGAGCCUGCUUCCGAUACGGGCAGACUUGAGGAAGGUAGGGGAGAACGGAAUUCCUGGUGGAGCGGUGGAAUGCUCAGAUAUCAGGAGGAACACCGGUGGCGAAGGCGGUUCUCUGGACCUUUCCUGACGCUGAGGAGCGAAAGCGUGGGGAGCAAACAGGCUUAGAUACCCUGGUAGUCCACGCCGUAAACGGUGGGCACUAGGUGUGGGGGACAUUCCACGUUCUCCGUGCCGUAGCUAACGCAUUAAGUGCCCCGCCUGGGGAGUACGGCCGCAAGGCUAAAACUCAAAGGAAUUGACGGGGGCCCGCACAAGCGGCGGAGCAUGCUGAUUAAUUCGAUGCAACGCGAAGAACCUUACCUGGGUUUGACAUAUGCCGGAAAGCUGCAAAAGAUGUAGCCCCCCGCAAGGUCGGAAUACAGGUGGUGCAUUGCUUGCCGUCAGCUCCGGGC
Molecule: ribosomal RNA, 960 nt
Filed under: Auraticoccus monumenti
Lineage: Bacteria; Bacillati; Actinomycetota; Actinomycetes; Propionibacteriales; Propionibacteriaceae
Description: bacterial SSU rRNA
Rfam family: Bacterial small subunit ribosomal RNA
Source: RNAcentral